AUAUUUUAAGUAUUUUAAACAAUGCGCGACUCAUUUUUUCACAUUGUUGAAUAGUCACCACCCAUUUUUCUUACUUUUACAUGCAAGACUCAUUUUUCCACAAUAUGAACAGUGUGCGACUAAUGUUUUCAAAAAAUGAGGCGGCAGAUGUUGCUGCACAAAGAUAAAAAAGCCAACUGCCAUAAAUUUUAUCCAAAAAAGAGCAACAUGGCUUAUUGGAGCUAAUCAACCCUUUCUACAUGUACUUUCAACAAGCACACAGACCAAUGACAGUAGGACUACUGGCACUGACCGUUGGUUCAUCAGCAUGAAAAAUGGGUGUCAAAAAUAGCACAAAUAAUGUAAAAUGUGUAAUAUGCAUGUAUAACGAUGAAACUUACCAACCACUCGACCAGGAAACAUCUGUUGCAGACUAUGUGGGAACUGGGAUUCGGGAUGCUCUCCCACUGGUAUCAUAUGCAGAUCAGUGGUCACAAGAACGUACACAACAUCAUUAAUGUCAGCAAUAUAUAUCUCCAACUUCAAACACACAGCUUGCAAAAUCGCUGAAUAUUGCACAAAAGCAGCUUCGUUACAAACUUCCAGCAACUCGAAAUCCACAAGCAGUCUCGUUCCCCACCCACUUUGACUUCGUAGCGAAGGCAUGUUUUUUUUGGGAAACCGUUAACAUCUCACAACUAAACGUAUACUACGGAGAUUGACAAGUUGAAAAAUAAAUUACUGUAAUCACUUCCAAUUUGCGCACUAAGUUAAACUCCAGUUCCAGUUUGUCUUUAUUGUUGAAAUGUUACUCUACACAUUCGCUUUGAAAAUAGAGGUUGGCGUGUUGUUGGAAGUACAUGUACAUGUCGAAUGUGUUAUUGUAAAAACUAUUGGUAUUGUGUUUUUAGUGCAGACAUUGUAUUUAAGUUUCGAUUUCUAGCAUAAAUUUAUAUAUUUUGUUAAAUAAUUUGCGUUUGAAUGUGAUUGUUUGUUGCUUACUUGCGAACUAUUUUUUAUGUGUAAAUAUGCAUAGACGCUAGUGGAUAUGUAAUCAGGUUACCAUAUUUACAACAAUAAAAUUUAACGGCUGUU
Dreissena polymorpha is the source of this 1074-nucleotide long non-coding RNA. RefSeq lists it as uncharacterized. NCBI's taxonomy places the organism in Eukaryota, Metazoa, Mollusca, Bivalvia, Myida, Dreissenidae. The transcript has 2 exons. The record is from RefSeq and is a predicted model, not a curated record.